This 555-nucleotide long non-coding RNA is filed under the name Carica papaya (papaya). Its description in RNAcentral is "long non-coding RNA (CPAP_LNC009845)". Lineage: Eukaryota; Viridiplantae; Streptophyta; Magnoliopsida; Brassicales; Caricaceae. The record is from RNAcentral.
UUAAAUAAAUAUUACAUUAUUAAUUUUUUUCUGCUUCUCUCCUUUUCACCACGUCUACUUUCUACUUUCCACUAGAUCUGCUGACUUACCGCUUUGCUUCUGCUUGUCUGCUUCUCUACAAUUAUACUUGGAUUUACUCUUCAUCAUUGCUCUGGUCUUCCUCUCGCAUUUGUUGUGUUCUCCAACGAAGCUCACACUUCGUUUCUCAAUCUCCAAACUUUGUAAAUCUUGUUUCUACUUAUCCUCUCUAACUUUAGUCUCUCCCUUCUGCUAUUUUCUUUUGUCAGAUCUCCUCCUCUUACUCUCUACUUCUGGUCACGCCUUUUGUAGGCAGCAGGAAGUAGGUCAGAUUUCCCGCACGCCUCCUGCCUCUCCUUUUUCGAUGAGCAUUUCCCUUUCUAGUCGUCUUUUUUCCUCUUAUGCUUUCUACAUUUUUUUUUUUCAUUCUUCAAAACAGCAUCAUUUUGUGAUCUGUAUGGGAGUAGUAGAGCUUGACAACUCUCAAACAAUUAGUAAUUGAAAAUAAAGAGAAUUUUUAUCUUUAAAGAAGAUAAG